CGGCAUAUGGAGGUUCCCAGGCUAGGGGUCUAACUGGAGCUGUGGCCGCCAGCCUACGCCAGAGCCACAGCAACGCCAGACCCGAGCCACAUCUGCAACCUAUACCACAGCUCACGGCAAUGCCAGAUCCUUAACCCACUGAGCAAGGCAAGGGAUCAAACCCGAAACCUCAUGGUUCCUAGUUGGAUUCGUUUUCACUGUGCCACGACAGGAACUCCUAUUUUGUUCUUUUUUUAUGGCUAAAGAAUAGUCUGAAGAUGUGGGUACAUAUACACAAUUUUUGCAUUUCUUGCUUCUUCACCUGUGCUCCUCUUCACCUCUUGCUUCAGAUAAAGUCCAGGGCUGUGUAGUUGCAACCGUAAUCAACUCCACUUGAAACAGUGGGCUUCCCACUGGUGCCUAAAUGAUCAAAGGUGCAAACUUGGUUACAUGGUAUCUUGCUAAUUUCAUAGUCAAUGGCUCCCCAUUGCCCACAGGAGAGAUUCCCAACAGGCAAGUUUCCAGUUUAGGGUGGUUUUUGUUCCAGCGCCCACCUGUACAAUUCCACCUUGUCUUCUGCUGCUCCUCUCUCCCCGCUUCACUCUUGGCGUGAGACUUACAGUUCUUGGAGUAGCCUUACUUUGCCCACUCUGCUCUCCUUUAUGAUUUCAGUGCCCUUCCCUCAGGUCAGCUUGGUGAAUUCAUCCUCACUGAUCACAGUACAGUCAUCAGGGAAGGUUCCUCAGCCCUUCCCACGCAGAGUUCACCACCCUUUCUUCAUGUCUCCCACGUGGAUGUUCUCUGUUGAAUAGAUGCCUGCGUAGCUCCGAUGACAUUACUGCAGAUUUUGUUUACCUGUCUGAGUUUCCACCAGGGCUCCGGUCUUCCUGACGGCAGGGACAAUGUCUCUGUCAUCUCCACAUUCCCAACAUCCCCCAAACUCGUAUGUAUGGUUUUAACAUAUACUAGUGGAAAGGAUGACUAAGUGGAGUGUGAUUAUACCUUCAGGUCAGUGUUUCCUGAACUAAGUGUUGAAGAAACACCCAGGGUCUUAGAGAGACCUCAGAUUUCUGGGCCCAACGCUGGGUGACCCCAAAGAGAAUUCCAGAAGGACGCUCUGUUUUCUACACUUCAAACCAACUCUCAAGGCAUUCUGAAGACAGAGAACCAUUGUGUUGGGUGCCAGUGAAGCAUCUGGGAUCUGUAGCCAGGAGUGAAACUCUCAGACCUAAGGUGAUUUUCUCCGGCUAACCAAUUGGUGGUUUUUCUCCUUAAAUUUUCAAGAGCAGUCAGAUACCUCAGCUGUGUGGUUUUUUUCCUUUGGUUUUUUGUUUUGUUUUGUUUUGUUUUUUGUUUUUUAACUCCACCUAUGGCAUAUGGAAGUCCCCAGGCUAGGGGUGGAAUCAGAGCUGCAGCUGUUGGCCUGCACCACAGCCACAGCCAUGCCAGAUCUGAGCCACGUCUGCAACCUACACCACAGCUCACAGUAACAUGGGAUACUUAACCCACUGAGUGAGGCCAGGGAUCAAACCUGCAACCUCAUGGAUCCUAGUGGGGUUCAUUACUGCUGAGCCAUGACGGGAACUCCACCUCAGCUGUUCUUUAGAUCCAGCUCCCUAUUGCUCAAUCUUCUGUUUCUUCUCUAUUCUGUAACAAGGAACCAGUGGACGGCAAUGCACAGCCCCUCACCCCCUCACAACAAUCCCAGGGUGCAUGGGACUUGAAGUUUGUAAGAGUGGGGGUUGAAAGAGUGUCCCUCAUUACCUUGACUGGCUGCCUCUGCUUCAGGAUUCGAGGCUUUUCUGUGGAAUGAAGGGCAGAGUUGUGUCUAGAGCUACUCAGAAGCUCUUCUCAGUCAUUUCUCUGUAUAGCCUGGUUCUAGAAUCCUGAGAUUGCCGAACAGCCAGUGCCGAGAAGGUGUCAGCCACGAUAUGAGAAUUCCCCGAUUAGAAGGCUCAUUCUUCCCAGGAACGGCUCAACUAGAUCAGCAUGGGGCCUCCCUCUGCCUGGGUGUGUAGGGCUGAUAUGUCAUCCAAGGGCAGAUCUGAAAAGGAAGUGUUAGCGUUCCGCAUUCCUCCUUCGCACCCCUCUCUACAGUGACACUAGAGAGAAAAAUAAAAACUCACCUGUUGUUCUAAAUAAAUAUCAAUCUGGGGAAGUUCCCUGGUGGUGCAGAGGUUAAGGAUCCGACGUUGCUGUAGCUGUGGCUUGGGUUGGACGUCUGGCCUGGAAACGUCCACAUGCCGAGGGUGUGGCCAAAAAAAAAAAAAAAAAA
This 2254-nucleotide long non-coding RNA is filed under the name Sus scrofa (pig). Its description in RNAcentral is "lncRNA (ENSSSCG00000046304.1)". Lineage: Eukaryota; Metazoa; Chordata; Mammalia; Artiodactyla; Suidae. The record is from RNAcentral.